Beta vulgaris subsp. vulgaris (sugar beet) is the source of this 104-nucleotide non-coding RNA. NCBI's taxonomy places the organism in Eukaryota, Viridiplantae, Streptophyta, Magnoliopsida, Caryophyllales, Amaranthaceae. The record is from Rfam.
GUAUCCUCUAGAGUUCCCUUGAACACUUCAAUGGAGACACAUAAACACCCUAUCCAAGGGUAACUUUUCUCUACUGAAGCGUUUGGGGGAACUCUUGCUGAUAC